This 225-nucleotide long non-coding RNA is filed under the name Panicum hallii. RNAcentral describes it as "long non-coding RNA (PHAL_LNC000320)". The record is from RNAcentral. Lineage: Eukaryota; Viridiplantae; Streptophyta; Magnoliopsida; Poales; Poaceae.
CCCUGUGCUCUUCCAGAAGGUUGGUCCGUGGAAUGGAAUUCGUCCUCGGCCAACAUUGGUGAUACCGAGUGAUGUCGUGCCUGGGCUUAGCAUGACAUCCGUCUUGUCGACGUGCUAUAGAUCAUCGCGUAUGUUUUCCGCUGCUAAAGGUCUUAGCUUAAAUAGUUUGUAUUGUUUUCUCUAAGUUUGAAACUUUGUACUACUUUUAUAAACUCUUGUAAUGUA